AGAGUUUGAUCAUGGCUCAGAACGAACGCUGGCGGCAGGCUUAACACAUGCAAGUCGAACGGCUGUAGCAAUACAGCAGUGGCAGACGGGUGAGUAACACGUGGGAACCUUCCUAGGGGUACGGAACAACUCAGGGAAACUUGAGCUAAUACCGUAUACGUCCGUAAGGAGAAAGAUUCAUCGCCCCUAGACGGGCCCGCGUCGGAUUAGGUAGUUGGUGGGGUAACGGCCUACCAAGCCUGCGAUCCGUAGCUGAUCUGAGAGGAUGAUCAGCCACACUGGGACUGAGACACGGCCCAGACUCCUACGGGAGGCAGCAGUGGGGAAUCUUGGACAAUGGGCGCAAGCCUGAUCCAGCCAUGCCGCGUGAGUGAAGAAGGCCUUAGGGUUGUAAAGCUCUUUUACCAGGGACGAUAAUGACGGUACCUGAGAAUAGCCC
RNAcentral lists this ribosomal RNA (439 nucleotides) under uncultured Parvibaculum sp. Its description in RNAcentral is "bacterial SSU rRNA". It matches the Rfam family "Bacterial small subunit ribosomal RNA", at positions 8 to 493 of the family's 1533-position model. Lineage: Bacteria; Pseudomonadati; Pseudomonadota; Alphaproteobacteria; Hyphomicrobiales; Parvibaculaceae. The record is from RNAcentral.